AAUCCGUAUUGUGGGCACCUCCACAAAAAGUCCUUGAAAUGAUCCCAUGUCUCAAACAAUGAUUCAAAUUCUAUUUGCACGAACGAUGAUAUCUCAUUGCGAAGUUU
This is a small nucleolar RNA of Dioscorea cayenensis subsp. rotundata (Guinea yam), 107 nucleotides long. The record is from RefSeq and is a predicted model, not a curated record. NCBI's taxonomy places the organism in Eukaryota, Viridiplantae, Streptophyta, Magnoliopsida, Dioscoreales, Dioscoreaceae.